Non-coding RNA from Triticum aestivum (bread wheat), 135 nucleotides. The record is from Rfam. NCBI's taxonomy places the organism in Eukaryota, Viridiplantae, Streptophyta, Magnoliopsida, Poales, Poaceae.
AUAAUACUCCCUCCGUCCCAAAAUACUUGUCACCGAAAUAGAUAAAAAGGGAUGUAUCUAGAACUAAAAUACGUCUAGAUACAUCUCCUUUUAUCCAUUUUGAUGACAAGUAUUUUCGGACGGAGGGAGUACAAA